RNAcentral lists this transfer RNA (63 nucleotides) under Pseudocolaspis sp. EMHAU_15070625. Its description in RNAcentral is "tRNA-Phe". The record is from RNAcentral. Lineage: Eukaryota; Metazoa; Arthropoda; Insecta; Coleoptera; Chrysomelidae.
UAUUUAAAUAGCUUAUUUAGAGCAUAGUAUUGAAGAUACUAAGGAGAUAUAAAAUCUUUAAAU